Psammomys obesus (fat sand rat) is the source of this 132-nucleotide small nucleolar RNA. RefSeq annotates it as small nucleolar RNA SNORA17. Lineage: Eukaryota; Metazoa; Chordata; Mammalia; Rodentia; Muridae. The transcript has a single exon. The record is from RefSeq and is a predicted model, not a curated record.
AUUGCUCCUAGAAGCAUUGCAGGUGUGGCUGCUGUGUCUCAUGUGCAUCAGUGAGUGGCAGAGAAGAGAGAGGUGAUGUCUAUGCUCAGGGGUCUGACCUGUGGACAUCUGAAUGAUUAGUAGCCUAACACC